Molecule: ribosomal RNA, 506 nt
Filed under: uncultured bacterium
Lineage: Bacteria
Description: bacterial SSU rRNA
Rfam family: Bacterial small subunit ribosomal RNA
Source: RNAcentral
CUGGCUCAGGAUGAACGCUAGCGACAGGCUAACACAUGCAAGUCGAGGGGCAGCAUAAAAGUAGCAAUACUUGGUGGCGACCGGCGCACGGGUGAGUAACGCGUAUGCAACCUACCUAUCAGAGGGGAAUAACCCGGCGAAAGUCGGACUAAUACCGCAUAAAACAGGGACACCGCAUGGUGAUAUUUGUUAAAGAAAUUCGCUGAUAGAUGGGCAUGCGUUCCAUUAGGUAGUUGGUGAGGUAACGGCUCACCAAGCCGACGAUGGAUAGGGGAACUGAGAGGUUGGUCCCCCACACUGGUACUGAGACACGGACCAGACUCCUACGGGAGGCAGCAGUGAGGAAUAUUGGUCAAUGGGCGAGAGCCUGAACCAGCCAAGUCGCGUGAAAGGAAGAAGGAUCUAUGGUUCGUAAACUUCUUUUGCAGGGGAAUAAAGUGCAGGACGUGUCCUGUUUUGUAUGUACCCUGAGAAUAAGGAUCGGCUAACUCCGUGCCAGCCGCUGC